Molecule: unclassified non-coding RNA, 430 nt
Filed under: soil metagenome
Description: partial contains 5.8S ribosomal RNA, internal transcribed spacer 2, and large subunit ribosomal RNA
Rfam family: 5.8S ribosomal RNA (bases 1-120)
Source: RNAcentral
GAUGAAGAACGCAGCGAAAUGCGAUACGUAAUGUGAAUUGCAGAAUUCAGUGAAUCAUCGAAUCUUUGAACGCAUAUUGCGCUCUCUGGUAUUCCGGAGAGCAUGCUUGUUUGAGUAUCAGUAAACACCUCAACUCCCUUCUCUUUUUUGAAAUUGGAGCUGGACUUGAGUGAUCCCAACGCUUUCUUCCAAGAAAGUGGCGGGUUGCUUGAAAUGCAGGUGCAGCUGAACUUUUCUCUGAGCUAUAAGCAUAUCUAUUUAGUCUGCCUAAAAAACAGAUUAUUACCUUUGCUGCAGCUAACAUAAAGGAGACUAGUUCUUGUGCUGACUGAUGCAGGAUUCACAGAGACAGCUUCGGCUGACUUUGUAAACUCGAUCUCAAAUCAAGUAAGACUACCCGCUGAACUUAAGCAUAUCAAUAAGCGGAGGA